Molecule: transfer RNA, 72 nt
Filed under: Lizanozyma spartinae
Lineage: Eukaryota; Fungi; Ascomycota; Pichiomycetes; Serinales; Debaryomycetaceae
Description: Scheffersomyces spartinae tRNA
Rfam family: tRNA
About the family: Transfer RNA (tRNA) molecules are approximately 80 nucleotides in length. Their secondary structure includes four short double-helical elements and three loops (D, anti-codon, and T loops).
Source: Rfam by way of RNAcentral
GGUCUUAUAGUGUAGUGGUUAUCACACUGGUUUCUGAUGCUGGUGACCUGGGUUCGAUUCCCAGUAAGACCU